Molecule: long non-coding RNA, 464 nt
Filed under: Carica papaya (papaya)
Lineage: Eukaryota; Viridiplantae; Streptophyta; Magnoliopsida; Brassicales; Caricaceae
Description: long non-coding RNA (CPAP_LNC007331)
Source: RNAcentral
AUACCGUCAUGUUUCCCUGGACCAGCUGAACAAACUCCAUCUCCUUCAGGUGUUGGAUGUGCUCAGGGAGAUACUCCGCAUGAAAGGCCGCUAAGAACUGCUCCCAGGUUGCUAGUGUAGGCAGGGUGGCCUGCUUGAGCUCCCACCAAUGACCUGCUUCCCCUACCAGCAUGUAGGAAGCAAAGGCAGCUCUCUGCUCGGGAACCACUCCCAAGGUCUUGAAAGCUCUCUUAGUCUCUGCCAACCAGUAUUGGACAUCUUCAAAAGAGGAUCCCCCUGCAAAAGUGGAAGGGUUCAGUCUCCUGUUCCUCUCUAUGUAGCCCGGGUCGAUCAAGGAAUGAGCUGGGUCCCAUGGAAGAGGGACUGGGCCCGGCUGGGGAUAAACUGAGGGCCCUGUGGUGGCACCUGCUGAUAUGAUGGGGGCACCUGAUUGUACUGUGACAGUGCCGGGCAGUACGGUGGCU